ACCUUACCUGGUCUUGACAUCCACGGAAUUCGGCAGAGAUGCCUUAGUGCCUUCGGGAACCGUGAGACAGGUGCUGCAUGGCUGUCGUCAGCUCGUGUUGUGAAAUGUUGGGUUAAGUCCCGCAACGAGCGCAACCCUUAUCCUUUGUUGCCAGCGGUCCGGCCGGGAACUCAAAGGAGACUGCCAGUGAUAAACUGGAGGAAGGUGGGGAUGACGUCAAGUCAUCAUGGCCCUUACGACCAGGGCUACACACGUGCUACAAUGGCGCAUACAAAGAGAAGCGACCUCGCGAGAGCAAGCGGACCUCAUAAAGUGCGUCGUAGUCCGGAUUGGAGUCUGCAACUCGACUCCAUGAAGUCGGAAUCGCUAGUAAUCGUGGAUCAGAA
RNAcentral lists this ribosomal RNA (386 nucleotides) under Pantoea sp. CAS48. Its description in RNAcentral is "bacterial SSU rRNA". It matches the Rfam family "Bacterial small subunit ribosomal RNA", at positions 968 to 1354 of the family's 1533-position model. The record is from RNAcentral. Lineage: Bacteria; Pseudomonadati; Pseudomonadota; Gammaproteobacteria; Enterobacterales; Erwiniaceae.